RNAcentral lists this ribosomal RNA (441 nucleotides) under uncultured bacterium. RNAcentral's name for it is "bacterial SSU rRNA". It matches the Rfam family "Bacterial small subunit ribosomal RNA", at positions 8 to 428 of the family's 1533-position model. The record is from RNAcentral.
AGAGUUUGAUCCUGGCUCAGAACGAACGCUGGCGGCGUGGAUAAGACAUGCAAGUCGAGCGCUGAUUACCGGGUAGCAAUAUUCGGUAGUUGGAGCGGCGCAAGGGUGCGUAACACGUGGGUAAUCUGCCGUGAAGUUUGGGAUAACUUGCUGAAAGGCGAGCUAAUACCGGAUGUGAAACUUGGAAGGCAUCUUCUGAUUUUCAAAGCUGGGGACCGUAAGGCCUGGCGCUUCAUGAUGAGCCCGCGGCCUAUCAGCUAGUUGGUAAGGUAACGGCUUACCAAGGCUAAGACGGGUAGCUGGUCUGAGAGGACGACCAGCCACACUGGAACUGAGACACGGUCCAGACACCUACGGGUGGCAGCAGUCGAGAAUUUUUCACAAUGGGCGCAAGCCUGAUGGAGCGACGCCGCGUGGGGGAUGAAUGGCUUCGGCCCGUAA